AAUUUUCAAGUCAAGCUAGUUCUCUGAAUUUAUAAAAAGAGUAAAAUAUAGAUUAAUAAGCUAGACAGUCCAGUAAGCAAUGAAUACUUUGAUUAGAUAAUUCAUAUGAUAAUAUGGAUUGUAAUAAUCAAAGUACAAUUUAUCAUUAAUCAGUACCUAAACGUAAUCAAAUUUAUUUUCAAAAUAUGAAUUCAGUAAUAUCAGCAUCUUUCAAAUCUUCAUAUAUAUAAUCAUAUGUCUUAUUUUGAAACCAAUCAUAUUCUAAAAUCUAAUUCAAAAUAAAUUUUACUUAACUCAUCAAUCUUUAACUAUGACCACACUUAGACUAUAUG
This 332-nucleotide long non-coding RNA is filed under the name Elaeis guineensis (African oil palm). Its description in RNAcentral is "long non-coding RNA (EGUI_LNC020450)". Lineage: Eukaryota; Viridiplantae; Streptophyta; Magnoliopsida; Arecales; Arecaceae. The record is from RNAcentral.